Long non-coding RNA from Eupeodes corollae, 558 nucleotides. RefSeq lists it as uncharacterized. The record is from RefSeq and is a predicted model, not a curated record. The transcript has 2 exons. Lineage: Eukaryota; Metazoa; Arthropoda; Insecta; Diptera; Syrphidae.
CCAGAUGCAUAGCCACAUUAGCAGCGCUGUCCUCAGUAUUAUUUAAAUUAAUCUAUAAACGCCAAUGAAUAAUUAAAAUCGGAUUCAAAUGAAAAAUGAUCUCGCCUCGUAGUUAAAUUGUUCUUUAUAAAUGAAGUUACUACGUUCGAUUCAGAAAUCAGUUUGUCUUCGAAAGUGCUUACAUCGAAAUGUUGCUGAUUAAAUUGUUAUUAAAUUUUGCAUUGAUUGCAUUUGUAUUUUGUUUACCAUCAGCAUCAGUUGGUGGUAAUAAUUUGGAACUUACAACUGAUUUUCAAGAGUCUAGAGAAAAUAACUAUGAAUCCACAGUCGACAGACAAAAACGUCAGUUUAAAUGUCCUUUGAAGCGAAUUUCAUUAAGAGGUCGAAAUGUCUACGUUCCAAUAUGUUAAAAUGGAAACUUCGAUAAAGUGAUAUGAGUGUAUGGCCUAAGUUCAAUAUUUGAAUAGUUUAAAUUUAAUGUUUUAAUAAAAACUAAAAUUGGAAGUAAAUUAAUAAAAUAAAUACUUUUCUUUUUGGGUGUUGCUUGUUCAAGUAGAA